This is an RNA transcript of Ornithorhynchus anatinus (platypus), 8137 nucleotides long. It is a transcript of the gene named zinc finger protein 608, with no coding region annotated. NCBI's taxonomy places the organism in Eukaryota, Metazoa, Chordata, Mammalia, Monotremata, Ornithorhynchidae. The record is from RefSeq and is a predicted model, not a curated record. The transcript is spliced from 13 exons.
UUAUCGAGUGAUUAUUCUGGCUGAGAUGAGCUAUUUGGGUUCUGCUUCUUGAUCAUUUGGUGUUUAAGUAAAAUGAGGGGCACAGAAUUGUUGCAGAGUCGAGUGGGAACAGCAUUUUGAUUUGCUGACCUAAUUUUUAAAAUGAUAAAGGAUUAAAAGGGAAAGCUGGACCUGGACCUGCCGUGAAGGGUAUAAACCUGGACAUACCUGGGGCUGGAAAAAGAAGAGGAAGACAAGAAGGGGUUUUUGGUUUUGGGUUUGUUUUUUUUUUUAAGAAAAAGCCCAACGGAGAUAAACGAAUGUCCCCUUUUCUUCCAAGGAAAGUUCAUCGGAUUUUUAUUCUAGAGAUUUCAUCUUCAGGAUGUCAGUGAACAUUACCAGUACAGGAAAAGGUGUGGAUCCAAGCACGGUUGAUACUUAUGACAGUGGCGAUGAUUGGGAAAUUGGGGUUGGGAAUUUAAUAAUUGAUUUGGACGCUGAUUUGGAGAAGGACAGACAGAAAUUUGAGAUGAAUAAUUCCACUAGCACCACUAGCAGCAGCAGCAGCUCCAAGGAUUGUGGGGGUUUGGCUUCCAGUGCGGCUAGUGCUACCUCAUCCUUAGCUGAUGGCCUAAAAUUUGCUUCUGUUCAGCCCUCUGCUCCCCAGGGGAACUCACACAAAGAGACCAGCAAAUCAAAAGUGAAAAGGAGUAAAACUUCUAAGGAUGCUAAUAAAUCUCUGCCUUCUGCUGCCUUGUAUGGGAUUCCCGAGAUCAGCAGUGCUGGCAAGAGGCAGGAAGGCCAAGGGCGCCCUGGAGAGGCAACUGGCAUGAAUUCAGCACUGGGUCAAAGUGGCAACCCGAACAGCAAUACCCUCUGCACCAGCACCAGUACUGCCACCCCCGGGGCAGUUUCUUGUGGGAAAAACAAAGAGGAGAAACCAGGGAAAAACCCAAGCAGCCGAGGCUCCAAGAGGGAUAAGGAUGCAGGGAAAUCCAGGAAGGACAAGCAUGAGUUGCUCCAAGCUCAUGCCAACGGCAGUGGCAGCCAGGCACCUUCCGGGGGUCAUCUGUAUGGCUUCGGAAGCAAAGGCGGCACCGGGAAUCCCUUCCCCUGUGGAGGCCCAGGGGGCAGCGCAUCGGCCCCCGGAGGGGAGGGGAGCAAAGGAGGUGCCCCGGAUCCAGGGCUCAUGGGGAACUCUAUUUUGGUAAAGAAAGAAGACGAGGAAGAGGACAGCCACAGGCGAAUCAAGAAACUGAAAACUGAAAAGGCUGACCCCCUGUUUACAGUGCCGGCACCACCUCCACCAAUUUCCAGCACUAUCACGCCUCAGAUUCUACCUUCCUACUUUGCCCCAUCUUCAUCCAAUAUUGCAGCGCCAGUUGAGCAGCUCUUGGUACGGAGCCGUUCCGUGGCUGUCAAUACAUGUGACGUUGGAGUAGUAACCGAACCUGAAUGCCUUGGACCGUGUGAGCCUGGGACCAGUGUGAAUUUGGAGGGGAUCGUGUGGCAUGAGACCGAAGAAGGUGUCUUAGUGGUAAAUGUCACAUGGCGGAAUAAGACUUAUGUUGGGACGCUGCUGGAUUGCACGAAGCAUGAUUGGGCCCCUCCAAGGUUCUGCGAGUCACCAACAAGCGACCUGGAAAUGCGAGGAGGCCGAGGCCGAGGCAAGCGGGCCAGGUCUGCCGCGGCCACCCCCGGCAAUGAUGCUGGCUUUGCCGAAUCCAGGGGCCUGCAGAGCAAGAACCGCGGUGCAGCCAAUGGGAAAGGGCGACGGGGCAACCUGAACUCUAGUGGACGCAGGACCCCCCCUAAUUGUGCCGGAGAGGAGGUCAAGGCUAGCCCUUCAGCAGCCAACAAAAGGAAAAACAAGCCUCCGGCUGAGCUGGAUUUAAACUCCAGUUCCGAGGACACUAAGUCGGGGAAGCGUGUGCGUACUAACUCGCGGAGCACUCCAACCACCCCCCAGGGGAAACCUGAGACGACUUUCUUGGACCAAGGCUGCUCUUCGCCAGUGCUGAUUGAUUGUCCUCACCCAAACUGCAACAAAAAGUACAAGCACAUUAAUGGACUGAGGUACCACCAGGCCCACGCACACUUGGACCUGGAGAACAAGCUGGAGUUUGAGCCAGACAGUGAGGAAAAGAUUUCUGACUGCGAGGAAGCCUUAAGUAACGUGGCACUUGAAUGCAACGAGGCAAGCACAAGCUUAUCGACAUUUGAUCAGCUGAAAGCACCCCCAUCCCCAAGCCCCGGGAACCCCCCUGGAACGCCCAAGGGUAAAAGGGAGCAGACUAACAGUGGCCCCGGUUCAGUGAUCAGUUCCAAAGCGGGCAAGAACUCGGGCAAGAAGAAGGGCGUGCACCAUGAGCUGAGCAGCCUCCCAGUGAUUGCCAACAUGGCCACCCCGCUGGACAGUUGCUCGGGAGCUGACGGCAACCUGAUGGCCGAAAUGCCAAAACUGGAAGCAGAAGGAUUGAUUGAUAAGAAAGGUUUGGCCGAGAAAGACAAGGGCAAAAAGGGCGGCAAUUGCAAGGUGGACCGAAACCUUUCCAAACUUAAACCUGCCAGGCCCAUAGCCCCAGCCCCCGCCCCAACCCCUCCCCACUUAAUAGCUAUUCCUACUGCAGCCUUCACCGGCACCACCGCAGGGACCAUCCCUGGGCUGCCCUCCCUCACAACAACUGUUGUUCAGGCCACACCAAAGAGCCCUCCAUUAAAGCCUAUUCAACCAAAGCCCACCAUUAUGGGAGAGCCAAGCACUGUAAACCCAGCUCUCACGUCACUCAAAGACAAAAAGAAAAAGGAGAAGAGAAAGCUAAAAGACAAAGAAAGUAAGGAGACAGGAAGUCCCAAAAUGGACACCAAGCUGGGAAAGCUAGAGGACUCAAAAGGGCCCGGGAAGGAGUUAGCUGGACAUUUUUUAAAGGAUCAUCUCAACAAGACGGAAGCGCUGGCUAAUGGGCUCUCUGAGUCUCAGGAGAGCAGGAUGGCAAGUAUUAAAGCCGAAGCGGACAAGGUGUAUACAUUCACAGACAACGCCCCCAGUCCUUCGAUAGGGAGUGCUUCGCGGAUAGAGAGCAGCCCUCUGGUGAACGGACAGUCUCCGAUGGCCCCGUUGCAUGUGUUGACCCAAAAUGGCGCUGAGGGUUCGGCCGCUAAAACCAACAGUCCGGCGUAUUCUGACAUAUCUGAUGCUGCUGACGAUGGGGGUUCUGACAGUCGGUCAGAGGGCAUGAGGUCAAAGGCCAGUUCUCCUUCAGAUAUUAUUUCCAGCAAGGACAGUGUGGUGAAGGGGAAUUCGUCAACCUCAGCACAAUCGUCCCAGGGGAAGGAGCCCCAUUCCCCCUAUUACCAUGGCUACGAUCCUUAUUAUUCUCCAAGUUACAUGCACUCCGGACAGGUCAGCACCCCUGCGGCUGGGAACUGUGCCACCGCACAGGGAAUGAAGAUCAAAAAGGAAUCUGAGGAAGAAACCGAAAAGAAAGACAAGGCAGAGCCAUCCGAUUCCAAGAAGACCGAAAACAAUUCCACCAAUUUACAGCCCCAGCACCAGUCAGUAAUCACUCAAAGACAUCCUGCACUCACUCAGUCACUUUAUUAUGGACAGUAUGCCUAUGGGCUCUACAUGGAUCAAAAAUCCUUAAUGGCUUCAAACCCUGCUUAUAGGCAGCAAUAUGAGAAAUAUUAUGAGGACCAGAGGCUGGCUGAACAGAAAAUGGCUCACACUGGGAGAGAAGGUGAAAGAAAGAGUGAGCUCCCCUUGAAAGAGCUGAGCAAAGAGGAUAAUAAACAGAAAAACAUCCCAUCAGCCACCAUUUCAAAGCCUCCUUCUACUCCAGAGCCAAACAAAAAUAACACUAAAGUAGGGGCUUCGAUGCCGAGCAAGACUGAGGAGACAAGCAAAUCACAGAUCCUCUCCAGUCACCAGCAGCAACUUCAGGCUGACAGUUUCAAAGCUAAGCAAAUGGAAAACCAUCAGCUCAUUAAGGAGGCCGUAGAAAUGAAAUCUGUCAUGGAUUCCAUGAAGCAGACGGGUGUAGACCCCACUACCAGAUUUAAACAACAGGAUCCAGAUUCGAGGACAUGGCACCAUUACGUCUACCAGCCCAAGUAUCUGGAACAGCAAAAGUCAGAGGAACUUGAUCGUGAGAAAAAGCUAAAAGAAGACAGCCCCAGGAAAACCCCUACUAAGGAGAGUGCCCUGUCCAGCCUUCCGGUGUCAUUAAUGAGCAUCAAAGAGGAGCCCAAAGAAGUCAAGCGCCCUGAUUCCCAAUCAGUGGAGGAGAGCAAGAUCAAAAAUGAUGAUCGGAAGACUCCUGUAAACUGGAAGGAUUCCCGGGGAGCCAGGGUGGCUGUUUCAUCCCCGAUGAGUCAGCAUCAGUCAUACAUCCAAUACUUGCAUGCUUAUCCAUAUCCUCAGAUGUAUGAUCCCAGUCAUCCGGCCUACCGGGCUGUUUCUCCUGUCCUGAUGCACAGCUACCCUGGGGCCUAUCUCUCCCCAGGAUUUCAUUAUCCUGUUUAUGGGAAGAUGUCAGGGAGAGAAGAGGCGGAAAAAGUCAAUACCAGUCCUAGCAUCCCCGCGAAAACCACCACUGAAUCUAAAGCACUAGAUUUGCUCCAGCAGCAUGCCAACCAGUACCGCAGCAAGUCCCCCGCUCCUGUCGAAAAGGCUGCAGUUGAUCGUGAGCGGGAAGCAGAGCGGGAGCGAGAUCGGCACUCCCCCUUCAGCCAAAGGCACCUCCACACACACCACCACACCCACGUUGGAAUGGGCUACCCACUAAUCCCGGGCCAAUAUGACCCCUUUCAAGGGCUGACCUCUGCUGCCCUCGUCGCCACUCAGCAGGUGGCUGCUCAGGCAUCUGCAACUGGUAUGUUUCCUGCACAGAGAAGGGAGUCUGAACAGUAUAAGCAUGAAAGGCAAAGCAGAUACAAAGCUACAAUCAGAAUCCAGGAAUGAAGGAAAGGACUUAAGGAGCUGCACUGAGGGAGCCCAUUUUUGUGGCGUUUUGAAGCAGUUCCAGCAUUUUCGAUGCCUGAUGAAAAAUAUCCAUCCCAGUGGAUAGCAGAAAAAAGCAGACCUUUCCAGGAAUCGCCUUUGCUCAGCAUUUUCCCCUUGGAGGAUGAGAAAGAUGAGAAGAUAGGUUUGCAGAGUGGCAAACUCAGUCAACUGCUGCGGUUUGAGACUUUGUCUUCAGGCUCAGAAGACCUUGAAAAUCACCUAAUCUGAAGCCCUUGAUCCAAGGACUGCAGACCUACCUCCUGGAGGAGUGAAGUGACUUGUUCAGACUUUCCCACCCCCAGGAUACUUCACGUUGCCUCUCAACAGAAACACCAACGGAUGCAAACACUUCACUGCCCAGCAGUGCUGGGGAUGUAAGGGCAGCCAACAGUGAGUCUGGCCCAGGCCUACUGAAACAUGAAACUUGACAGGGGCGGUGGGGGAGGGAGAGGAUCAGGGAGGGAGUCAGUUGGGAUUUCAUCAACACACCAUUAAUAAUGCUGCCAUCAUUGUCAGAGUAAUAAUAAGCCCCCCCCCAACAAAACAACCAGAAACAAAAUCUCCAGCAGCUGGUAUUUUGAGAGACCUGGAUUUAUACUCUCUUGUAUAACAAUACUGAGACCCAUACUUUUCCCCGGAAGACUUCAAAGGCAGUGAGGCCUCGACUAGCAAACCCUAAAAGGUAGAAUGCCUCACAGUGCCCUGAAAUGCUUUUCCAACUUUGGCUGUUCAAGGGAAGCUACUGAGGAGAGUCACAGAAACUGUGACUGAGUUUGAAACAGUCAAUAAAUCAGAUGGACCAUUUGAGGAAGUUGCAGUCAUUUCCUGGGAAACAGCUUUUCUGCUUCUCCCAUAUCACUUAAAACAGGGUUCUUUGUCUUGGGGUUGAUGAGGAGGUUGAAAAGCAAUUCUCCAGCAAACUGCCAGAUAAAGCGAACUCAAUUCACGUUCCCUAAUGACAAGGUCAGGCACCACAUCAAGCUACUCUUAGAUUGGCUUAGAUGAAGAAAGGCUUGUAUCAAAAUAAAAAAGCCAUUGAAGUGUUUGGCUGAGUCACAUCCAGACACACCUGAGAUGCCUCGAUGAGAAUGAGUCCAGCUUCAAUGGGAACACUAGUGGCUUGCCAUUAUAUUUUCAUAAUGCCUUCUUAACAUCACUGAAUACAAUGGGAACUUUAAGGCCAACUGCAAUAACAGUUUCUCAUGAAAAAUUAACCAAGAAUUUAUGGAAAUGUGGGAAAAGUCCCAAAGCAAUUAGCUUUGAUUUCUCUGGAGUCUCCGAAAAGCUGGGAUAAUUGCCGGCAGAAACUGCAUAAAGUGACUAUUUUCAUCAUCGCGGGAUCUAGAAAGUCCAUUUCCAUCACAAUGGGAUCUAAUGGUGUUAAAACACACACGGAGAUAUGUUUAAAGAAGGGUAUGGCAUGGUUUACGAAAUGGCUGGAUUUAUGGGACUUUGGAGAUAUACACCUAAGAUGGCUCUUAAAGGGACCAUAGAGAUUUUACUUGACAUUUCAUCACUUCCCCCUCCACGAGAGGAGACUAGAUUGCUGUUUCUGGAAGCUAAUUAUACAUUACCACUAGGAUGCACAAAAAUGAAUUUCAUUUGUAUUAAAACUGAAAAGAGCUAGAUUGUACCACAAGCCGGCCCAUGAAUAGACAUUUUUGCAGUGCACUUUUAAAGCAGCCAUUAUAUAUGUUUAUAGGUACACUGAUGGAGUGAGCACUUCUGAUUGACUCAGAAACUGAGGCGUCUGACAUCAUAAGGAGCCGAGAAAACAGCCUUCCAGCACUGAGAGCAGUCCUUCUGGACGAAGGGGUAAAUCACUGUUGAAUGGAUUUCCUUUCAGGAUUUUGAAAAUAGAUGCUGAGAUUUCUCUGUAGAUGCCCCUAUGCAGGUGAUACCAGAUAACCCUCUAGAUGCCCCAGAAAGCCAUGGUCUUGUUGCCUGCCUGCAGUGAAAUGGCUGAAAUGACAUAAUCCACACAGCUGUUAUAAGCCCCCAGUGCCCUCCACAAUGUCACCCACAUAGAUCUGAAUAUCACUUCUACCUAUAAAAAGCUGCAGUUAAAGCUGGGCAGGUGAUAGAAAUGAUUCUUGGAACCAUUAAGUAGGUUCUUUCUCUGGAGCCAGUUGGAUAUUAAUAACUUUCUUGAGCUGGAGUGUCAAAGGAUCGUUCCAUCUCGAAAUUUAUUUGGUAAACAUGUCCCGGGAGAAGGAGAGGAAAGAUGAUUUUCGCAUUUCAAAUGAAAGCCGGGCUCCUGCUGCCCCAGACAAACGUCAGCUGGUGGAAGCUUUGUUAAAAGAGGCUGGAAAGAUCAGCUAUCCCUGCGCGCACACACACAUGCACGCACACAACUCACUUAAAGCAUUAGAAAAAAAUCAAUCUAAAAUCACCCAGCAGAAUUCACAUCACGACCCAGGGAAGCACCUUUUCAGAAGAUGGGAAUCAGAUUUUGACAGUUCAGAUCUCCGAUACCAAGAAGCAAAGAAAUCCCUUUUCUAUCUGACAUGGUCUCUACCUCUCAGUGACGGCUGGGGCCACGGUAGCAGGGCAGAAAGCCAGGGGACCAACAGUGGCCAUUAUCUCAGUAUAAUCAGCACAAAAAUGUUGCUCAACCCAUUACCAGUGAUCUCAUUCUAAUUUUACAUUUGAUUUUGCUGCUGCUUCCUCCAAUGCCAGAACUGCUGCUGCUGCUUCAGCAAAAGCCAAAGGGACGGAUCAAGGUGAAACAUCUUGCAGGCCCCCUACCCAUGCUCUCCCAGAGAGUCAAUCAUUCUGCUGGCAUGGUUCAUCUCCACCUCUGCCCAGUCUCUUUGAGAGAGUUCAUUGCAUGGUUUACCUUGAUGAGCAGUGAGAGGGAAGUGGACAAAAAGUUGUUUUAGUCAUACAAGGGGAAAUUCUCGGACCCAUUCAAAGCUGCCUUGACUUCUAUACCUGUAGGAUCUGGAAUGGCUCGAUGUCUCAGAUGCCGGCAGGUCAAAUAAAGUAGCGUCUCUGGGGUUAGUUUAAAAUGACUUGUACCCGGUUUUGAUUCACAGAUGAUCAAUUCUGCUCUGUAACAGAGGAGCAUAUUUGGGAACUGUGUAAACAAAUAUGUUUAGCUGAGCUGUGGAUAACCUAAAGUGACACAUUUAUUUAAAAUUUUGCCUACUA